AGGAAGGGGUCCGCGGCCGAUUAGUUAGUUGGUAGGGUAAUGGCCUACCAAGACCAAGAUCGGUAGCCGGCCUGAGAGGGCACACGGCCACACUGGCACUGAAACACGGGCCAGACUCCUACGGGAGGCAGCAGUGGGGAAUCUUGCACAAUGGGGGAAACCCUGAUGCAGCGACGCCGCGUGAGCGAUGAAGCCCUUCGGGGUGUAAAGCUCUUUCGGCAGGGAAGAUUAUGACGGUACCUGCAGAAGCAGCUGCGGCUAACUACGUGCCAGCAGCCGCGGUAAUACGUAGGCAGCAAGCGUUGUUCGGAGUUACUGGGCGUAAAGGGUGUGUAGGCGGUCCGCUAAGUUUGGUGUGAAAUCUCCCGGCUCAACUGGGAGGGUGCGCCGAAUACUGGCAGGCUAGAGUGUGGGAUGGGAGAGUGGAAUUCCUGGUGUAGCGGUGAAAUGCGUAGAUAUCAGGAGGAACACCUGUGGUGUAGACGGCUCUCUGGACCAUUACUGACGAUGAGACACGAAAGCGUGGGUAGCAAACAGGAUUAGAUACCCUGGUAGUCC
RNAcentral lists this ribosomal RNA (558 nucleotides) under uncultured bacterium. RNAcentral's name for it is "bacterial SSU rRNA". It matches the Rfam family "Bacterial small subunit ribosomal RNA", at positions 221 to 796 of the family's 1533-position model. The record is from RNAcentral.